Molecule: ribosomal RNA, 468 nt
Filed under: uncultured bacterium
Lineage: Bacteria
Description: partial 16S ribosomal RNA
Rfam family: Bacterial small subunit ribosomal RNA
Source: RNAcentral
GACGAACGCUGGCGGCGUGCUUAACACAUGCAAGUCGAACGGAAAGGCCCUGCUUUUGUGGGGUGCUCGAGUGGCGAACGGGUGAGUAACACGUGAGUAACCUGCCCUUGACUGUGGGAUAACUUCAGGAAACUGGGGCUAAUACCGGAUAGGAGCUCCUGCUGCAUGGUGGGGGUUGGAAAGUUUCGGCGGUUGGGGAUGGACUCGCGGCUUAUCAGCUUGUUGGUGGGGUAGUGGCUUACCAAGGCUUUGCAGGGUAGCCGGCCUGAGAGGGUGACCGGCCACAUUGGGCCUGAGAUACGGCCCAGACUCCUACGGGAGGCAGCGGUGGGGAAUAUUGCACAAUGGGCGGAAGCCUGAUGCGACAACGCCGCGUGCGGGAUGACGGCCUUCGGGUUGUAAACCGCUUUCGCCUGUGACGAAGCGUGAAUGACGGUAAUGGGUAAAGAAGCACCGGCUAACUACGUG